Molecule: ribosomal RNA, 1554 nt
Filed under: Escherichia coli
Lineage: Bacteria; Pseudomonadati; Pseudomonadota; Gammaproteobacteria; Enterobacterales; Enterobacteriaceae
Description: bacterial SSU rRNA
Rfam family: Bacterial small subunit ribosomal RNA
Source: RNAcentral
AAAUUGAAGAGUUUGAUCAUGGCUCAGAUUGAACGCUGGCGGCAGGCCUAACACAUGCAAGUCGAACGGUAACAGGAAGCAGCUUGCUUCUUUGCUGACGAGUGGCGGACGGGUGAGUAAUGUCUGGGAAACUGCCUGAUGGAGGGGGAUAACUACUGGAAACGGUAGCUAAUACCGCAUAACGUCGCAAGACCAAAGAGGGGGACCUUCGGGCCUCUUGCCAUCGGAUGUGCCCAGAUGGGAUUAGCUUGUUGGUGGGGUAACGGCUCACCAAGGCGACGAUCCCUAGCUGGUCUGAGAGGAUGACCAGCCACACUGGAACUGAGACACGGUCCAGACUCCUACGGGAGGCAGCAGUGGGGAAUAUUGCACAAUGGGCGCAAGCCUGAUGCAGCCAUGCCGCGUGUAUGAAGAAGGCCUUCGGGUUGUAAAGUACUUUCAGCGGGGAGGAAGGGAGUAAAGUUAAUACCUUUGCUCAUUGACGUUACCCGCAGAAGAAGCACCGGCUAACUCCGUGCCAGCAGCCGCGGUAAUACGGAGGGUGCAAGCGUUAAUCGGAAUUACUGGGCGUAAAGCGCACGCAGGCGGUUUGUUAAGUCAGAUGUGAAAUCCCCGGGCUCAACCUGGGAACUGCAUCUGAUACUGGCAAGCUUGAGUCUCGUAGAGGGGGGUAGAAUUCCAGGUGUAGCGGUGAAAUGCGUAGAGAUCUGGAGGAAUACCGGUGGCGAAGGCGGCCCCCUGGACGAAGACUGACGCUCAGGUGCGAAAGCGUGGGGAGCAAACAGGAUUAGAUACCCUGGUAGUCCACGCCGUAAACGAUGUCGACUUGGAGGUUGUGCCCUUGAGGCGUGGCUUCCGGAGCUAACGCGUUAAGUCGACCGCCUGGGGAGUACGGCCGCAAGGUUAAAACUCAAAUGAAUUGACGGGGGCCCGCACAAGCGGUGGAGCAUGUGGUUUAAUUCGAUGCAACGCGAAGAACCUUACCUGGUCUUGACAUCCACAGAACUUUCCAGAGAUGGAUUGGUGCCUUCGGGAACUGUGAGACAGGUGCUGCAUGGCUGUCGUCAGCUCGUGUUGUGAAAUGUUGGGUUAAGUCCCGCAACGAGCGCAACCCUUAUCCUUUGUUGCCAGCGGUCCGGCCGGGAACUCAAAGGAGACUGCCAGUGAUAAACUGGAGGAAGGUGGGGAUGACGUCAAGUCAUCAUGGCCCUUACGACCAGGGCUACACACGUGCUACAAUGGCGCAUACAAAGAGAAGCGACCUCGCGAGAGCAAGCGGACCUCAUAAAGUGCGUCGUAGUCCGGAUUGGAGUCUGCAACUCGACUCCAUGAAGUCGGAAUCGCUAGUAAUCGUGGAUCAGAAUGCCACGGUGAAUACGUUCCCGGGCCUUGUACACACCGCCCGUCACACCAUGGGAGUGGGUUGCAAAAGAAGUAGGUAGCUUAACCUUCGGGAGGGCGCUUACCACUUUGUGAUUCAUGACUGGGGUGAAGUCGUAACAAGGUAACCGUAGGGGAACCUGCGGUUGGAUCACCUCCUUACCUUAAAGAAGC